Molecule: long non-coding RNA, 218 nt
Filed under: Elaeis guineensis (African oil palm)
Lineage: Eukaryota; Viridiplantae; Streptophyta; Magnoliopsida; Arecales; Arecaceae
Description: long non-coding RNA (EGUI_LNC057145)
Source: RNAcentral
GGUGGGGGGUUUUCUCAUUCCAAUUUUGUGAGAGAGAAAAAUAAAAAAAAAUUAUUUUUCUUCUUCCACACCAUCUCUUCCUUGAAAAGCUCCUUCUUUUUAUUUGGAGGUAUCCAUUUGAUCUGAAGAAAGGAGUCUCCGUCAACCAUCCAGAUCCUUCAUCGUGAGCUAGCACUCCCGAGAAGGAUGAUCUAUUCGAAACUUUGAGUGGAUCACCU